This 28-nucleotide small RNA is filed under the name Bombyx mori (domestic silkworm). RNAcentral describes it as "ovarian small RNA-3793". Lineage: Eukaryota; Metazoa; Arthropoda; Insecta; Lepidoptera; Bombycidae. The record is from RNAcentral.
UGGACAACACAAAGAUAACCGCGAAGUC